AGGACGAACGCUGGCGGCGUGCCUAACACAUGCAAGUGGAGCGACGAACCAGGCUUCGGCCUGGGGCAGAGCCGCGAACGGGUGAGUAACACGUGGGUAACCUGCCCUGAUGAUUGGGACAACCCGAGGAAACUCGGGCUAAUACCGAAUGUGCCCUCCGGCCUCAAGGCCGCUGGGAAAGGAGCUUCGGCCUCCGCAUCGGGAUGGGCCCGCGGCCCAUUAGCUUGUUGGUGAGGUAACGGCUCACCAAGGCAACGAUGGGUAGCUGGUCUGAGAGGACGAUCAGCCACACUGGGACUGAGACACGGCCCAGACUCCUACGGGAGGCAGCAGUGGGGAAUCUUGCGCAAUGCGCGAAAGCGUGACGCAGCAACGCCGCGUGGAGGAUGAAGCCCCUUGGGGUGUAAACUCCUUUCGAUCGGGAAGAUAAUGACGGUACCGAUAUAAGAAGCCCCGGCUAACUUCGUGCCAGCAGCCGCGGU
RNAcentral lists this ribosomal RNA (482 nucleotides) under uncultured bacterium. RNAcentral's name for it is "SSU rRNA". It matches the Rfam family "Bacterial small subunit ribosomal RNA", at positions 26 to 521 of the family's 1533-position model. The record is from RNAcentral.